This is a non-coding RNA of Salmo salar (Atlantic salmon), 577 nucleotides long. Lineage: Eukaryota; Metazoa; Chordata; Actinopteri; Salmoniformes; Salmonidae. The record is from RefSeq and is a predicted model, not a curated record.
CUCAUGUUUAUUCACUUUAUUUUACAGGGGUACCCAGAAUUUCAAGCUGGGGAUGCGCUGUGACCCAAAACCCAGAAACUGGAUAUUACUGGUGUUUGGGAUGGCGUGCAGGCACGAGCAUCCACUGAAGUUCCUGUUCAACUUCUUGUGUUACAGCACCGGAAAUACAACUGUCGGCAGAAGGCCAUGGAGGAAACUAAGGCAAAGGAGAAGUUGAUGGUGUGGCUAGACAGCAUUCCAGGUCAGAGGAAUGACCAUUGACGAGGCCUUUGCACAGCUUAAGUUCGACAAAAAGGGGGCAAAGACAAUGAGGCCCAGGAGAUGGCAGUCCAUAAUCAAAGUGGAAUACAAGUCCAAUUUAUAUGUUGUGGAAUUAUUCUCCAAAAAGGGGAAGUACCUGAAAAGUAUCCGUUUCCAUGGCAGAGGAAUGUUUGCAAUCAUGGAUAAAGUGCACUGCCACCACUUUGUCAAGCUGGUGGAAGGGCUCCCAUCUAAGGUGGAACAGAAGACGGGCUGUUCCAGUUGCACCAUUAUCCACGCACUAUAGGGCAACUAAUAAACUCUGUUUGUGAUUUGU